Molecule: ribosomal RNA, 425 nt
Filed under: uncultured bacterium
Lineage: Bacteria
Description: bacterial SSU rRNA
Rfam family: Bacterial small subunit ribosomal RNA
Source: RNAcentral
GUGGGGAAUAUUGGACAAUGGGCGAAAGCCUGAUCCAGCAAUGCCGCGUGAGUGAUGAAGGCCUUAGGGUUGUAAAGCUCUUUUACCAGGGAUGAUAAUGACAGUACCUGGAGAAUAAGCUCCGGCUAACUCCGUGCCAGCAGCCGCGGUAAUACGGAGGGAGCUAGCGUUGUUCGGAAUUACUGGGCGUAAAGCGCACGUAGGCGGUUACUCAAGUCAGAGGUGAAAGCCCGGGGCUCAACCCCGGAACUGCCUUUGAAACUAGGUAACUAGAAUCUUGGAGAGGUCAGUGGAAUUCCGAGUGUAGAGGUGAAAUUCGUAGAUAUUCGGAAGAACACCAGUGGCGAAGGCGACUGACUGGACAAGUAUUGACGCUGAGGUGCGAAAGCGUGGGGAGCAAACAGGAUUAGAAACCCCAGUAGUCC